AUCUAGCCAUGGGCAGGUUGAAGGUUGGGUAACACUAACUGGAGGACCGAACCGACUAAUGUUGAAAAAUUAGCGGAUGACUUGUGGCUGGGGGUGAAAGGCCAAUCAAACCGGGAGAUAGCUGGUUCUCCCCGAAAGCUAUUUAGGUAGCGCCUCGUGAAUUCAUCUCCGGGGGUAGAGCACUGUUUCGGCAAGGGGGUCAUCCCGACUUACCAACCCGAUGCAAACUGCGAAUACCGGAGAAUGUUAUCACGGGAGACACACGGCGGGUGCUAACGUCCGUCGUGAAGAGGGAAACAACCCAGACCGCCAGCUAAGGUCCCAAAGUCAUGGUUAAGUGGGAAACGAUGUGGGAAGGCCCAGACAGCCAGGAUGUUGGCUUAGAAGCAGCCAUCAUUUAAAGAAAGCGUAAUAGCUCACUGGUCGAGUCGGCCUGCGCGGAAGAUGUAACGGGGCUAAACCAUGCACCGAAGCUGCGGCAGCGACACUAUGUGUUGUUGGGUAGGGGAGCG
RNAcentral lists this ribosomal RNA (512 nucleotides) under Escherichia coli. RNAcentral describes it as "partial 23S ribosomal RNA". It matches the Rfam family "Bacterial large subunit ribosomal RNA", at positions 728 to 1238 of the family's 2925-position model. Lineage: Bacteria; Pseudomonadati; Pseudomonadota; Gammaproteobacteria; Enterobacterales; Enterobacteriaceae. The record is from RNAcentral.